This 703-nucleotide ribosomal RNA is filed under the name uncultured organism. RNAcentral's name for it is "bacterial SSU rRNA". It matches the Rfam family "Bacterial small subunit ribosomal RNA", at positions 622 to 1320 of the family's 1533-position model. The record is from RNAcentral.
UGCGUCCAAAACCACAGGGCUCGAGGGAGACAGAGGUGAGUGGAACUGAAGGUGGAGCGGUGAAAUGUGUUGAUAUCUUCAGGAACACCGGUGGCGAAAGCGACUCACUGGGUCUCUUCUGACGCUGAGGCACGAAAGCUAGGGUAGCGAACGGGAUUAGAUACCCCGGUAGUCCUAGCCGUAAACGAUGAGCACUGGAUCGGAGGGGUUUCCGUGCCCUUCCGGUCGUAAUGAAAACGUUAAGUGCUCCGCCUGGGGAGUAAGGCCGCAAGGCUGAAACUCAAAGGAAUUGACGGGGGCUCACACAAGCGGUGGAGGAUGUGGCUUAAUUCGAGGCUACGCGAAGAACCUUAUCCUAGUCUUGACAUGCACGGAUUAGCUCUGUGAAAGCAGAGUAACGCCUUCGGGUGGAACGUGCACAGGUGCUGCAUGGCUGUCGUCAGCUCGUGCCGUGAGGUGUCGGGUUAAGUCCCUUAACGAGCGAAACCCUUGUCCUUAGUUGCCAUCAUUUAGUUGGGGACUCUAAGGAGACUGCCGGUGUUAAACCGGAGGAAGGUGGGGAUGACGUCAAGUCAUCAUGGCCUUUAUGACUAGGGCUGCACACGUCCUACAAUGGUACGUACAAAGGGCUGCAAACCCGCGAGGGGGAGCUAAUCCCAAAAAACGUACCUCAGUUCGGAUUGCAGGCUGCAACUCGCCUGCA